Molecule: ribosomal RNA, 253 nt
Filed under: uncultured bacterium
Lineage: Bacteria
Description: partial 16S ribosomal RNA
Rfam family: Bacterial small subunit ribosomal RNA
Source: RNAcentral
UACGGGGGGGGCAAGCGUUGUUCGGAAUUACUGGGCGUAAAGGGCUCGUAGGUGGCCAACUAAGUCAGACGUGAAAUCCCUCGGCUUAACCGGGGAACUGCGUCUGAUACUGGAUGGCUUGAGUUUGGGAGAGGGAUGCGGAAUUCCAGGUGUAGCGGUGAAAUGCGUAGAUAUCUGGAGGAACACCGGUGGCGAAGGCGGCAUCCUGGACCGACACUGACGCUGAGGCGCGAAAGCUAGGGUAGCAAACGGG